UACGUAGGGGGCAAGCGUUAUCCGGAUUUACUGGGUGUAAAGGGAGCGUAGACGGUACGCCAAGUCUGAAGUGAAAUGCCGCAGCUUAACUGCGGAACUGCUUUGGAAACUGGCGGGCUGGAGUGCGGGAGGGGUAAGCGGAAUUCCUAGUGUAGCGGUGAAAUGCUUAGAUAUCACGAAGAACUCCGAUUGCGAAGGCAGCUCACUAGACUGCAACUGACACUGAUGCUCGAAAGUGUGGGUAUCAAACAGG
Molecule: ribosomal RNA, 253 nt
Filed under: uncultured Eubacteriales bacterium
Lineage: Bacteria; Bacillati; Bacillota; Clostridia; Eubacteriales
Description: uncultured Clostridiales bacterium partial 16S ribosomal RNA
Rfam family: Bacterial small subunit ribosomal RNA
Source: RNAcentral